AUAAUUUCCUGGCACGGGAGACAGCAUGAUCAUGAACGUGUUUUUUUUUCUAGGGCAAGGCUUAUCCAUUGCACUCUGGAUGUGCUAACUCCUGCAAUUUCCCCAAAUGUGGAAAAGUCGACUGCAUAAUUUGUGAUAAUGGGGGGCUGCAUACAUGCUCUGCCCUG
Molecule: small nuclear RNA, 167 nt
Organism: Sorex araneus (European shrew)
Lineage: Eukaryota; Metazoa; Chordata; Mammalia; Eulipotyphla; Soricidae
Gene: U1
Rfam family: U1 spliceosomal RNA
About the family: U1 is a small nuclear RNA (snRNA) component of the spliceosome (involved in pre-mRNA splicing). Its 5' end forms complementary base pairs with the 5' splice junction, thus defining the 5' donor site of an intron.
Source: Ensembl